ACAGAUGAGAAAAAACUUUCAGAAGUUAAAUAAUUUGCUCAACAUUAUCCAACCUUGGAUUCAAAUGAAGGAAGACAGAGCAUUGCCAGAUUGCCAAACCACAGAACCAGAAAGGUCCAACAUGGCAAUGGGGUGCCCUGCACAGAGGGUGCUGUGUGCAAGAAGGGAAGAUCUGCGCAUGCCCCAACUGCCCCCGCCCAGACCCCUCCCCACCAAGCGAUGACAUGGAGAUCCUUCCCCCUUCACAUCCCAUAGGAACCCUGCUCACCUCCCUUUCCCCUUCACGAUAAGGUGAUUUAGAGCGUGAACUCUGCCUCCUCCAUUCAUUGAUCAAUAAAUGACGUUUCUGCUUUG
Equus caballus (horse) is the source of this 354-nucleotide non-coding RNA. The record is from RefSeq and is a predicted model, not a curated record. NCBI's taxonomy places the organism in Eukaryota, Metazoa, Chordata, Mammalia, Perissodactyla, Equidae.